UAUUGAAUGUUAUAGUUUAAACUGUGGUGAAAUGUAUUCCUUUUUAUCAGAUUCAACGAUUGUGAAGAUGGAAAUGAUCUAUUUUUGUUCAAUUCAACCUGAUUCAUUGCAUUGCUUCUAAAGUUUCGAUAUUUUACAAUUUCUGUUUCAAUGACUUGCGAGUGCACGUGCACGAGUUGCAACUUGCAAUGAAGUUUGGAUUGUUCAUCUCCAAUUACCGAUGAUCAACUGAAAAUUGCUAAAGAAGUAGAGAAACUAUUGUCAAAAACAUCACCUGGAACUAAGAUGGUCGAUUCCUUUGAAAUAGAUGAAACAGAAUCAGAAAAGUUGGGAAAUAAGAAGACUACUCACACAGGUAGAAAGAAGAAAACCAGAAUUAUUGACCUUGAAGAAGAAAACAAGAAUCUUAAAGAGCAGAUAGCUGAACUGCAAAACAUACAACACUCAGAUCAGCCAAGUUCUACUUGUGAUGGUGAGCUUCAGUUUUGUAUAUUUACAUUAUUUCAAAUUGAAACCAUUCUACAACGUUUUACCAACUCACUUUUGUUCAUGCCUGUCCGACUAGCUAGAGACUUGAAACUUUCAGGAUAGGUCAGAACCCAAUGACAAUGCAUUUUUCAUUGUUUUUCAAAAAUUUACCAAUUUCUUCUUGAAUGAAAAAGACUAAGAAAUUGUCAA
Nilaparvata lugens (brown planthopper) is the source of this 678-nucleotide RNA transcript. RefSeq lists it as uncharacterized. The record is from RefSeq and is a predicted model, not a curated record. Lineage: Eukaryota; Metazoa; Arthropoda; Insecta; Hemiptera; Delphacidae. The transcript has 4 exons.